RNAcentral lists this ribosomal RNA (224 nucleotides) under uncultured bacterium. RNAcentral's name for it is "partial 16S ribosomal RNA". It matches the Rfam family "Bacterial small subunit ribosomal RNA", at positions 111 to 334 of the family's 1533-position model. The record is from RNAcentral.
UAACGCGUGAGGAACCUGCCUCAAAGAGGGGGACAACAUUGGAAACGACUGCUAAUACCGCAUAAGCCCACAGCUCGGCAUCGAGCAGAGGGAAAAGGAGUGAUCCGCUUUGAGAUGGCCUCGCGUCCGAUUAGCUAGUUGGUGAGGUAAUGGCCCACCAAGGCGACGAUCGGUAGCCGGACUGAGAGGUUGAACGGCCACAUUGGGACUGAGACACGGCCCAG